RNAcentral lists this ribosomal RNA (450 nucleotides) under uncultured bacterium. RNAcentral's name for it is "partial 16S ribosomal RNA". It matches the Rfam family "Bacterial small subunit ribosomal RNA", at positions 354 to 796 of the family's 1533-position model. The record is from RNAcentral.
GUGGGGAAUCUUCCACAAUGGACGAAAGUCUGAUGGAGCAACGCCGCGUGAGUGAAGAAGGGUUUCGGCUCGUAAAGCUCUGUUGUCGGGGACGAAUGUGCAGUAUUUGAAUAAAGUAUUGCAAUGACGGUACCUGACGAGGAAGCCACGGCUAACUACGUGCCAGCAGCCGCGGUAAUACGUAGGUGGCAAGCGUUGUCCGGAAUUAUUGGGCGUAAAGGGAGCGCAGGCGGGAAGGUAAGUCGGUCUUAAAAGUGCGGGGCUCAACCCCGUGAUGGGAUCGAAACUAUCUUUCUUGAGUGCAGGAGAGGAAAGUGGAAUUCCUAGUGUAGCGGUGAAAUGCGUAGAUAUUAGGAGGAACACCAGUGGCGAAGGCGACUUUCUGGACUGUAACUGACGCUGAGGCUCGAAAGCCAGGGGAGCGAACGGGAUUAGAAACCCGAGUAGUCC